Molecule: RNA transcript, 3227 nt
Organism: Entelurus aequoreus (snake pipefish)
Lineage: Eukaryota; Metazoa; Chordata; Actinopteri; Syngnathiformes; Syngnathidae
Exons: 6
Source: RefSeq, a predicted model, not a curated record
CUUCUUAGAGCACUAUCCACAAAUGAUACGUUGCUUUGGACCUCUUAUUGCCCUGUGGACGAUGAGAUUUGAGGCUAAACAUAGCUUUUUCAAGCAGGUUGCUCGUCACACUAACUGCUUCAAGAAUAUUUCUCGUUCACUAGCUAUAAAACACCAGUACAUGCUUGCCUAUCGUGCACAUUCAUCCAGUCUUAAAAAGUCAUCCCUAGAGGUCACAGAUGUCUCAAUUAUGCCCGUUGAUGUCCUUAAUGAGGGAGUAGUGUCUGCUCUUAAGAAGUUACACCCAGAUGUUACUGAGGUUCAUGUGGCAAAAAAAGUGUCCUGCAAUGGUCUGCAUUACAGUGAGGGGAUGCUUAUUGUACACGGAUCUGUAGAUGGACUGCCUAAAUUUAAUGAGAUCCUGCAACUGUGCAUUCUUAAGGAGAAACUGUGUUUUGUAGUUAAAGAUCUAUGUGCUUGGUAUUGGGAGCAUUAUGGUGGAUUUGAGCUGUCAUCCCCACCCACUACAGAGGUUUCCCUUGUUGAGCUUGGUGACCUGGUAGAUCCAUAUCCUCUUGUGGCGUACAUGGUUGAGGGUUUGCGCAUGGUAAUGCUAAAAAGAUUCAUCAUUGUCAAAGAUUAAAGGUGUUCCAACAUGGGGAGCCCAGCUGUUCUGCGGAUCAUUUUUGGUGACGAGUCUGACUCUAGAAAACUAACACUCGAUUCUGGAAUUCCAUCAGCAGUGGAGGACCUAUAUUUGUUAGUUAAGACAUUCUUUCAACUCAAAGAGGACUUCAGGUUGCAAUAUAUGGAUGCUGACUUCAACGAGUUUAUUAACUUAACUUCAGUGUCUGAAAUUAAAAACAAAAGCACGCUGAAAGUUAUAUACAUUCCUGUUUUUUCACCUGUGGAGCCCUGCAUCACGCUGUAUACAGUAGACUCAUCUGGUGAGCUCUCAAAUACCUCUUGCUCAAAUUCUGAAACUCCUGCUUCAUCUAUAGACUCAUCCUGCAGGGAUGAUACACCGUUCACAUCAACCCCAGAGUCAUCUCUUGAAACUCAGCUUUCAAAGUUGUCUUCCUGGCCCAAGGUGUUUUUGGUACCCAAAUUCACAUAUGAUGCAGAGUUUGAGCUACAGGACAAGAAUAGAGAGUAUGAGACAAUUGGAACAUACUUUAACCCUGGCCCAAAGUUAAAAGGAGUCAUUCUUGAUGGCCUAGCCCAAGAAAUGUUGAAAUACACAAAAUAUCCAAAAGACUAUCAGUGUGAAGAGGUAGCAGCAGCAUUGAAGAGAGCUCAUCCUUGUUUGGGACAGCUGGGAUCCAAGACAGGAUUUUGGGGAUGGAAACAGUCACUGAAGUAUAAAAUGCAAAACUAUCGAACAAAGCUGGGGCGACUCGGACAUCCUGAAAUACGUGUGAACUCCUUUAAGCACAAACGUGAAGGCCAAGGCAAAGCUGCAGCCAACAUCAAGAAAGCAAGAAAGGCUGAAGUUUACUACAUACCACUGCACCCAAAAGGCGAAACCACAGAAAGCUUGGAGAGUGAGAGAAUCGCUUUGUUGUCAGAAAUAAAAAAACGUGACAAUGAAGUGGUGAUAAAAGCAAAAAUGGAAAAAACCUUCUCCCACAGACGACGAGAGGUCGUUGAACAGAGGCCCAUGAUAGAGGAAUUUAAAAACCGGUGGCCUGCCCUGUUCCAGCAGAGUGAAAUUAAUGAGGAGUUCUUGAGGAUCACUACAAAGCCACUGCUGUCAAAGUUUAUGUCACAACUGGACCACUUUUCACUCAAGCUGAUGCAGAUCUUCAAAAGCAAAGGAGGCGUGAAGGGGCAACGAAUCAAAGAAGUUCUGGCAAAAAUAGAUUUGUCGCGGGGGGUGCUGGAGCCUAUCUCAGCUACGGACGGGCGGACGUACACCCUGGACAAGUCGCCACCUCAUCGCAGGGCCAACACAGAUAGACAGACAACAUUCACACUCACAUUCACACACUAGGGACCAUUUAGUGUUGCCAAUCAAACUAUCCCCAGGUGCAUGUCUUUGGAGGUGGGAGGAAGCCGGAGUACCCGGAGGGAACCCACGCAGUCACGGGGAGGACAUGCAAACUCCACACAGAAAGAUCCAGAGCCUGGGAUUGAACUCACGACUACUCAGGACCUUUGUAUUUGUGACGACAUUGACAUCAGGAGGGAGUGCAUCCUGAGAAGCCUUGUUAUCUACCUCAAUGAAGAUCCAGACACAUUCUUCAAGGAAUAUCUGGCCUCCGCCACUGAGGAUGCAGAAAGGGACAUUGCCCUCACAGUCAUGGGGAUAAACAUCAUCCGUGGAGAUGGCGAUAGGUAGCCAGAGGAUGUGGGAGUUGUUAUCGAAGGCAUCAAAGUCCUAAGCAACGCGGACACCGUCAUCAUGGGGAUUAUAAUGAUGUUUGGGCUCAUUUAUGCGCUUGAUCUAAGCUUUCCAGACAACCUCAAGUACACAUUUCAGUUUUUCCAGAAGAUCCUAAUGAACCUGGAUGGGCAAAAGCUGAACACAAAGAUACAGCAGCUGAAAAUCAAGUUGUUUGCAUGAGAGGUGAACACUUGUUGACAAAGUUCAUCAUCGGAUCUUUAUUUUUGGUUGUAUUUUAUUGCCUUCAUUGUCACCCACUUAAGACAAUAUGACCUACAACAUUUUGAACUUCAGAAUUGGACCUAACUUUACCUCCCCAUUUUAUCUCUGAGUGUGACUACCCUCCACACUUCUCGCAUCCAUUUCUCUCCUCCGUUUCAUCACUCAACCCUGGAUAAAUGGAUUAAGUUCGACUCAAGACUUUGGAAUUUUAUUUUGUAUUUUUUGAAUAACUAGUACUGUUUUCAUGUUUUGUUUUUACUUGCUUACAUUCAAAGGAUAUUUGCUGCUAGCAUCCCAUUAAUAUCAGAUUCCUGAUCUGCGAAUGUUGAGUUUUUCUUAUUUAUUUUUGUUUGUUGCCAAUUUGAUCCAUGUUGUUUCCUUUUAUUUAACUCUAGUACAUUAAGGCUAAUGGCUACAUUAGCACACUUGCGCAGUACUCAAAUGUGUUUUGCAGUUUCCUUUGUGGCGCUGAGUGUUAAUUUUACACCACUUUAGGCUAUUUUGGAGAACCGUUUCUCGUAAAGUUUUCCUUGCGUUAUUUAAGAAAAGUUAAAAGGUGUUUUAUAACUAAGACUGAGUUCUCUUGGCUUUUUAUCAAGUCAAUUUGACAUAUUUGUUAAUAUAAAACUAAGUUAUUGGU